RNAcentral lists this ribosomal RNA (296 nucleotides) under uncultured bacterium. Its description in RNAcentral is "partial 16S ribosomal RNA". It matches the Rfam family "Bacterial small subunit ribosomal RNA", at positions 356 to 668 of the family's 1533-position model. The record is from RNAcentral.
GGGGAAUAUUGGACAAUGGGGGCAACCCUGAUCCAGCAAUGCCGCGUGUGUGAAGAAGGUCUUCGGAUUGUAAAGCACUUUCGACGGGGACGAUGAUGACGGUACCCGUAGAAGAAGCCCCGGCUAACUUCGUGCCAGCAGCCGCGGUAAUACGAAGGGGGCUAGCGUUGCUCGGAAUGACUGGGCGUAAAGGGCGUGUAGGCGGUUUACACAGUCAGAUGUGAAAUCCCCGGGCUUAACCUGGGAGCUGCAUUUGAUACGUGUAGACUAGAGUGUGAGAGAGGGUUUGUGGAAUU